This 283-nucleotide unclassified non-coding RNA is filed under the name plant metagenome. RNAcentral's name for it is "partial contains small subunit ribosomal RNA, internal transcribed spacer 1, and 5.8S ribosomal RNA". The stretch from base 235 to 283 matches the Rfam family "5.8S ribosomal RNA", at positions 1 to 49 of the family's 154-position model. The record is from RNAcentral.
UUUCCGUAGGUGAACCUGCGGAAGGAUCAUUAUUGUAUAACCGAGGUGCGAGGGCUGUCGCUGACCCGAAAGGUCGUGCACGCCCGAGUGCCCUCACACACAUCCAUCUCACCCCUAUGUGCACCACCGCGUGGGUCCCCCUUUGGCUUGUUCGGAGGGGGGCUUACGUUUUCACACAAACUUUGUAUACAGUGUAGAAUGUAUUUUUUGUUUUUGCGAUCACGCAAUCAAUACAACUUUCAACAACGGAUCUCUUGGCUCUCGCAUCUAUGAAGAACGCAGC